Molecule: ribosomal RNA, 497 nt
Filed under: uncultured bacterium
Lineage: Bacteria
Description: partial 16S ribosomal RNA
Rfam family: Bacterial small subunit ribosomal RNA
Source: RNAcentral
GAUGAACGCUGGCGGCGUGCCUAAUACAUGCAAGUCGAGCGAACGGACGAGAAGCUUGCUUCUCUGAUGUUAGCGGCGGACGGGUGAGUAACACGUGGAUAACCUACCUAUAAGACUGGGAUCACUUCGGGAAACCGUAGCUAAUACCGGAUAAUAUUUUGAACCGCAUGGUUCAAAAGUGAAAGACGGUCUUGCGGUCACGUAUAGAUGGAUCCGCGCUGCAUUAGCUAGUUGGUAAGGUAACGGCUUACCAAGGCAACGAUGCAUAGCCGACAUGAGAGGGUGAUCGGCCACACUGGGACUGAGACACGGCCCAGACUCCUACGGGAGGGAGCAGUAGGGAAUCGUCCGCAAUGGGCGAAAGCCUGACGGAGCAACGCCGCGGGAGUGAUGAAGGUCUUCGGAUCGUAAAACUCUGUUAUUAGGGAAGAACAUAUGUGUAAGUAACUGUGCACAUCUUGACGGUACCUAAGCAGAAAGCCACGGCUAAAUUCGGG